CCUACGGGUGGCAGCAGUCGGGAAUAUUGCACAAUGGGGGAAACUCUGACGCAGUAACGCCGCGUGCAGGAAGACGGUUUUCGGAUUGUAAACUUCUGUUCUUAGUGAAGAAUAAUGACAGUAGCUGAGGAACAAGCCACGGCUAACUACGUGCCAGCAGCCGCGGUAAUACGUAGGUAGCAAGCGUUGUCCGGAAUUACUGGGUGUAAAGGGGGCGCAGGCGGGAAGCCAAGUCAGCUGUGAAAUCCACGGGCUUAACUUGUAGACUGCAGCUGAAACUGGUUUCCUUGAGUGAAGUAGAGGAUGGCGGAAUUCCGAGUGUAGCGGUGAAAUGCGUAGAUAUUAGGAGGAACACCAGUGGCGAAGGCGGCCAUCUGGACAUUAACUGACGCUGAGGCACGAAAGUGUGGGGAGCAAACAGGAUUAGAUACCCCUGUAGUC
RNAcentral lists this ribosomal RNA (441 nucleotides) under uncultured bacterium. Its description in RNAcentral is "partial 16S ribosomal RNA". It matches the Rfam family "Bacterial small subunit ribosomal RNA", at positions 338 to 795 of the family's 1533-position model. The record is from RNAcentral.